UAUUCAGUCAUAUUUCUACAUGCAUUUUCUAUGGGCAUGCCAAAUUUCAACGAAAAAUAAUUGGUAGCAGAUAGUUUAAAAUGUAUUAUAUUACUUAUACCACUUAUUUUAGGUAGCCUUAGGUAAACGUUUUUUUUUGUGUUUGUUUUAAGAAACAUGCAUAAACAUAAAUUAUUUUCAUAAAGAAGAAAGGUUGAUCUAGAUUUUUAUAUGACUUUUAUGCAUGGUUACCCAACAUUUUUAUGUAUUAUUUUGCUGACAAUAUUGCAUGAAAAUAUUGUCCCUGUUCUCACAUUAAUUUAAUGUCGAAGGAAUGUUGAGCCGGCUUUUUUUGUUAGUUUUUCUAUAUUUUACAUGCAUUUUCUAAGCACCUGCCAAAAAUCAACGAAAAAUAAUUGGUAGCAGAUAGUAUACUAGGUGUUAGACUUUUGGUACAAAAUUUUGGUUUUUCUGUUGUUUUUUUUCGUUAAGCUUGUUACGGGUGUGGAUAGGGGGGCCGACUAUACAAAAACAUAACAAAUCCCAAUAUCGUAUUAUUUUGAAUUUUAUUUUUAGAUUAAAAUAAAUAAUGAAUACUAACAGAGAUGUUGUUAGAUCUAUAACAGAUAAUCCUGCUGCACAUUAUGAAGCUUUUUUGAGAUAUCUUUAAUCUACCCAGCCUACCACAGCAACAUCUUCAUCUGCAAUUAGUGCUCUAGUUCCAUCCUCAAUUGCAUUGAGUGGUAAGCUUAAAAAUAUUUUUAUUGCAUCCUUUAAAAAGCCUGUUAGUUACAUCUUCAGCUGCUACAAGUGUCCCACAACCUCCACAACAAUUAACACAACCUUCUGCUGAGCUUACCUAUGGUGCCUAUAGAAGAUAUAGGGACCAGCACCCUGGACCGAUGAGCAAUCGAUCAUUUUUGCGGUGGGUCCGGUUAGGAGGGAAUGAUGGUGAGUCAUUCAGCUGGGCCUAUCAUUCACCUAACAGGGGUGCUGGAAGCUCCAGCAGAAAAGGAAAUCGUGGAGGAGGUCGUGGGCGAAGACGGAAUGGUGGCGGCCUUGUUGUGAAUGGUGGCAUCCACUAUUACUAGGCGCCACCACUCCUUUAUUUUUUUUUUAAAUAAAUAUAUAACAUUAUCAAGUUUGUUUUCCAUUUUGUCCGAAUUUUUGCAAUUAUUAACAUUUGAUUUAUUUAUUUCAAAUCUUUCACAAAAUGGUUUAAAAGCAAAGCAUUGACAGAUGUAGUAGUUUGCAAGGGACCUGUUUAGUAUGUUUUCAAUGUAAUUAAAAGUUUUAGGAUUUUUUGAGGUUUUGAAAUUUUGAGGUUUUCUCAUAGCCUAUAUUAAAUGCAGUUUUAAAUUUAUAUGUAAUGUUUUAUUGAGUUGAUAAAUGUUAAAUAUCUUUUCCAUACCUAAUUACUGUUCUUUAUUUUGUUUGGUUUAUAUACUUUUUUUUUGAGUUAAGAAUAUUAAUUGGUUUUAAACCAGUUUAAUUGUUUGAUUUUAAACCAGGUUAACUUAUGUUUACAGUUCCUAAAUAUUAUAUUUACGUAACAAUUACUUGUUUGCAGAAGGUUCAAAAAAAAGUGGAGUUAUGUUUGCGGAUACAGUAAAAAAAGAUUGAUCUUACAUAUGGUGCAGAAGGGGAUAUCACCACGGAGGAGGGCGUAGGCGAAGAAAGAAUGGUAGCAGUUGAAGAAGAAGUUUUUUGUAUUAAAAAUAUAUAUUUAACAUUAUCAAGUUUGUUUUCCAUGCUGUCUUAAUUUACUCCAACCUGCAUCUUGUAAUGUGGUUGGAGAAGACUGAGAGGAAGGGGGGGGAGGGGAGUUAAGCUUGGCAUCGUUCCGCCUCUAAUGUCAAUUUAUGCACCACUUGUAUAUUCUGUUAAGUAAAAAAAUAUAAUUUAAAGUCUUUAACACAAAAUAUAAUCAGUGUUUUUUAGGCUCAAAUAUUUAUAAGAUGGUAGCAUUUCACUACAAGGGUGUUAAAACGUAACAAAUACAUCCACCCUUUAAUCUAAAAUAGACCAAUAAUAUUUGGAAAAGUAAUGGAAGCAAAUUAGAACAACUUUUUGUGUAUAAAGAUAACAAAUUUUAUCAGCAAAAUACUCUUUCGUGU
Molecule: non-coding RNA, 2096 nt
Organism: Hydra vulgaris (swiftwater hydra)
Lineage: Eukaryota; Metazoa; Cnidaria; Hydrozoa; Anthoathecata; Hydridae
Source: RefSeq, a predicted model, not a curated record